UGGGGAUGACGUCAAGUCAUCAUGGCCUUUACGGCCUGGGCUACACACGUGCUACAAUGGUCGGUACAAAGGGUUGCCAAGCCGCGAGGUGGAGCUAAUCCAUAAAACCGAUCGUAGUCCGGAUCGCAGUCUGCAACUCGACUGCGUGAAGUCGGAAUCGCUAGUAAUCGUGAAUCAGAAUGUCACGGUGAAUACGUUCCCGGGCCUU
This 208-nucleotide ribosomal RNA is filed under the name uncultured Pseudomonas sp. Its description in RNAcentral is "partial 16S ribosomal RNA". It matches the Rfam family "Bacterial small subunit ribosomal RNA", at positions 1174 to 1382 of the family's 1533-position model. Lineage: Bacteria; Pseudomonadati; Pseudomonadota; Gammaproteobacteria; Pseudomonadales; Pseudomonadaceae. The record is from RNAcentral.